RNAcentral lists this ribosomal RNA (253 nucleotides) under uncultured bacterium. RNAcentral's name for it is "partial 16S ribosomal RNA". It matches the Rfam family "Bacterial small subunit ribosomal RNA", at positions 524 to 776 of the family's 1533-position model. The record is from RNAcentral.
UACGGAGGAUGCAAGCGUUAUCCGGAUUUAUUGGGUUUAAAGGGUGCGCAGGCGGAAUAGUAAGUCAGUGGUGAAAUCCCCCGGCUCAACCGGGGACCUGCCAUUGAAACUGCCAUUCUUGAGUACAGUUGAAGUGGGCGGAAUGUGUCAUGUAGCGGUGAAAUGCAUAGAUAUGACACAGAACACCGAUAGCGAAGGCAGCUCACUAAGCUGUAACUGACGCUCAUGCACGAAAGCGUGGGGAGCAAACAGG